UACGGAGGAUGCAAGCGUUAUCCGGAAUGAUUGGGCGUAAAGCGUCCGCAGGCGGCUAUGUAAGUCUGCUGUUAAAGAGUGAGGCUCAACCUCAUAAGAGCAGUGGAAACUACAUGGCUAGAGUGCGUUCGGGGCAGAGGGAAUUCCUGGUGUAGCGGUGAAAUGCGUAGAUAUCAGGAAGAACACCGGUGGCGAAAGCGCUCUGCUAGGCCGCAACUGACACUGAGGGACGAAAGCUAGGGGAGCGAAUGGG
Molecule: ribosomal RNA, 253 nt
Filed under: uncultured bacterium
Lineage: Bacteria
Description: partial 16S ribosomal RNA
Rfam family: Bacterial small subunit ribosomal RNA
Source: RNAcentral